AGAGUUUGAUCCUGGCUCAGAAUGAACGCUGGCGGCGUGCUUAACACAUGCAAGUCGAGCGAGGCGAGGGGGGCAACUCCCUCAGUCGAGCGGCGGACGGGUGAGUAACACGUGGGUCACCUGCCCGGAAGUGGGGAAUACCUCGGGGAAACUCGAGCUAAUUCCGCAUGACAUCGUCGGGACGCCUGUCCUGGCGAUCAAAGCGGGGUCGCAAGGCCUCGCGCUACCGGAUGGGCCCGCGCCCGAUUAGCUAGUUGGCGAGGUAACGGCUCACCAAGGCGACGAUCGGUAACCGGCCUGAGAGGGCGAUCGGUCACACCGGAACUGAGACACGGCCCGGACUCCUACGGGAGGCAGCAGUGGGGAAUCUUGCGCAAUGGGCGAAAGCCUGACGCAGCAACGCCGCGUGGAGGAUGAAGGCCCUUGGGUUGUAAACUCCUGUCGGUUGGGAAGAAAUCGUCCGAGGCGAAUACCCUCGGGCGUUGACUGUACCAGCAAAGGAAGCCCCGGCUAACUCUGUGCCAGCAGCCGCGGUAAUACAGAGGGGGCCAGCGUUAUUCGGAAUUAUUGGGCGUAAAGGGCGCGUAGGCGGCCAUGCGUGUCUUCCGUGAAAUCCCUCGGCUCAACUGAGGACGUGCGGAAGAAACUGCAAGGCUCGAGUCCGGGAGAGGGGGGUGGAAUUCCCAGUGUAGCGGUGAAAUGCGUAGAUAUUGGGAGGAACACCGGUGGCGAAGGCGGCCCCCUGGACCGGUACUGACGCUGAGGCGCGAAAGCGUGGGGAGCAAACGGGAUUAGAUA
RNAcentral lists this ribosomal RNA (798 nucleotides) under uncultured bacterium. Its description in RNAcentral is "bacterial SSU rRNA". It matches the Rfam family "Bacterial small subunit ribosomal RNA", at positions 8 to 784 of the family's 1533-position model. The record is from RNAcentral.